Lamprotornis superbus is the source of this 71-nucleotide non-coding RNA. NCBI's taxonomy places the organism in Eukaryota, Metazoa, Chordata, Aves, Passeriformes, Sturnidae. The record is from the annotation of a GenBank genome assembly.
UCCCUAGUGGUCUAGUUGUUAGGAUUUGGCACUCUCAUUGCUGUGGCCCGGUUUGGUUCCUGGUCAGGGAA